AACAAGGCUCUUUCCUGCCUCAGAGCCACACUAAUUAUGAAAUAUGUUAUAU
Molecule: non-coding RNA, 52 nt
Organism: Lupinus angustifolius (narrow-leaved blue lupine)
Lineage: Eukaryota; Viridiplantae; Streptophyta; Magnoliopsida; Fabales; Fabaceae
Source: Rfam